UAAGUAAGCGGGGGAUAAGAAACUAAAUAGGAUUCCCUCAGUAAUGGCGAAUGAACAGGGAUAAGCUCAGCAUGGAAAUUGGGGCCUGUGGCCUUGAGUUGUAGUCUCGAGAUGUUCCGCCAACGGAGGCGCAGAUGUAAGCCUCUUGGAAAAGAGCAUCACCGAGGGUGAGAAUCCCGUAUGUCAUCUGCAGUCCCUCGUGCAUGGUGUACCUUCUAAGAGUCACGUUCCUCGGAAUUGGAGCGCAAAGUGGGUGGUAAAUUUCAUCUCAGGCUAAAUAUUAGUUCGAGACUGAUAGCAAACAAGUACCAUGAGGGAAAAAUGAAAAGGACUUUGAAAAGAGAGUUAAAAGUGCCUGAAAUUGCUGAAAGGGAAGCGAAUGGAACCAGUUUGCUUGGUGAGAUUGUCGCGUGCUAAUGCGAUUGCCUGCUGUUUCAAGCUUCGCUGUUGCGGUAGGUUCUGAUCAGUACGUGCGCGGUGGUUCUUGCCUUGCGUGUCGUUUUCAGUUCACGAAAAAGGAAAACCCCAGGGACGUGGUAGUCCGCCCCGGUUGUGCGAAUGUGCUUGGUGGAUUUUUUCCGUGUACUGAAUCCUUGAUUAGAUGACUAAAUGGUUCCAUCCGACCCGUCUUGAAACACGGACCAAGGAGUCUAACA
RNAcentral lists this ribosomal RNA (656 nucleotides) under Adenoides eludens. Its description in RNAcentral is "LSU rRNA". It matches the Rfam family "Eukaryotic large subunit ribosomal RNA", at positions 43 to 680 of the family's 3401-position model. Lineage: Eukaryota; Dinophyceae; Gonyaulacales; Gonyaulacaceae. The record is from RNAcentral.